AAACCGUUCCCGAGGAUCUAUUGGAGGGCAAGUCUGGUGCCAGCAGCCGCGGUAAUUCCAGCUCCAAUAGCGUAUAUUAAAGUUGUUGUGGUUAAAAAGCUCGUAGUUGGAUUUCGGCGGGUAGUGGUCGGUUUGAAUUGCUUCAACACUGGCUUUUUUACCCGUGUGUUUUGCCAGAAUUUAACGGGUGAUCUUCGCCGAUUGUCCGUUAGAACUGGCAGGUUUACUUUGAAAAAAUUAGAGUGCUCAAGCAAGCUUGAUUGCUUGAAUAUUCGUGCAUGGAAUAAUAGAAUAGGAAGUCGUUUCUAUUUUGUUGGUUUUCGGAAAUCGACUUAAUGAUUAAUAGGGAUAGUCGGGGGCAUUUGUAUUCAAACGACAGAGGUGAAAUUCUUGGACCGUUUGAAGACAAACUACUGCGAAAGCAUUUGCCAAGAAUGUUUUCAUUAAUCAAGAACGAAAGUUAGAGGUUCGAAGGCGAUUAGAUACCGCCCUAGUUCUAACCAUAAACGAUGCCAGCUAGCGAUCUGCCGGUGCUUGAUUUUCUGGCCCGGCAGGCAGCUUCCGGGAAACCAAAGCUUGUGGGUUCCAGGGGAAGUAUGGUUGCAAAGCUGAAACUUAAAGGAAUUGACGGAAGGGCACCACCAGGAGUGGAGCCUGUGGCUUAAUUUGACCCAACACGGGAAAUCUCACCAGGCCCGGACACCAGAAGGAUUGACAGAUUGAUAGCUCUUUCUUGAUUUGGUGGGUGGUGGUGCAUGGCCGUUCUUAGUUGGUGGAGUGAUUUGUCUGGUUAAUUCCGAUAACGAACGAGACUCUGUCCUGUUAAAUAGAUCCAACCUAGUUGUAGGGUUGGAAUGUCUUCUUAGAGGGACUGGUGAUUAUUAGUCACACGAGAUUGAGCAAUAACAGGUCUGUGAUGCCCCUAGAUGUUCUGGGCCGCACACGCGCUUCACUGAAGUGAUCAGCUAGUUUUUCCCUCUCCGAGAGGAGCGGGUAAACUGUUGAACCCACUUCGUGGUAGGGAUCGGAGCUUGCAAUUAUUCUCCGUGAACCAGGAAUUCCCAGUAGGUGCAAGUCAUAAGCUUGCAUCGAUUACGUCCCUGCCCUUUGUACACACCGCCCGUCGCUACUACCGAUUGAGUGUUUUAGUGAGGACCUCGGAUUGCUUGCCCGGCGGUUAACGCUGCCUAGCUGGCGAAAAGACGUCCAAACUGUAGCACUUAGAGGAAGUAAAAGUC
RNAcentral lists this ribosomal RNA (1238 nucleotides) under metagenome. RNAcentral's name for it is "SSU rRNA". It matches the Rfam family "Eukaryotic small subunit ribosomal RNA", at positions 528 to 1790 of the family's 1831-position model. The record is from RNAcentral.